UCGGUAUGUACUGGCUUUACUGAUUCCUCCUUCUUGACGAACUGUGAUGUCAUUAAUUUGGUGUUGCGGGAAAUCAGAACUGUUACUUUGAAAAAAUUAGAGUGUUUAAAGCAGGCUAACGCUUGAAUACAUUAGCAUGGAAUAAUGAAAUAGGACGUUAAUCCUAUUUUGUUGGUUUCUAGGAUCGACGUAAUGAUUAAUAGGGAUAGUUGGGGGCAUUAGUAUUCAAUUGUCAGAGGUGAAAUUCUUGGAUUUAUUGAAGACUAACUACUGCGAAAGCAUUUGCCAAGGAUGUUUUCAUUAAUCAAGAACGAAAGUUAGGGGAUCGAAGACGAUCAGAUACCGUCGUAGUCUUAACCAUAAACUAUGCCGACUAGCGAUCGGAUGAUGUUAUUUUUAAUGACUCAUUCGGCGCCUUACG
Molecule: ribosomal RNA, 421 nt
Filed under: uncultured Glomeromycotina
Lineage: Eukaryota; Fungi; Glomeromycota
Description: SSU rRNA
Rfam family: Eukaryotic small subunit ribosomal RNA
Source: RNAcentral